GAGAAGUAACGUAAGAAUAAGAAAAAAUAAGUAAAAAACAGUAGAAAAAAACAGAAGAAAAAUUAGGAAAACUGAUAUGAAAACGGUAUGAAAAAAAGGAAAAAAAAACCCCGAAUAAAGAUUCCGAAAACGCUGUCGACCGACACCCUUUCGCGGGCGGUAAUGGGCCGGCUUAUAUCAGUGGAUCCCAGACAUUAACGGAACAUGGCAGCUUUGCAGUGAUCGAGCAGUGAGUCUGUGAGUGGCAUGCGGCAGGAUACAUGCAUCGAUGGGAUCCAUGCACGUAAAUGAUGUGCGUACUACUACAAGCACAUGCACAUGCACAUGCAUGCAUGCUCCUAGGAAUUAAUCCGGCACUAUUCUCCGUCCAUCAUGGCGAUCAGAGGGCCAUGGCCGGAUCGCUCGGCAGCUCGCACGCUGGCUAGAC
This 427-nucleotide long non-coding RNA is filed under the name Hordeum vulgare. Its description in RNAcentral is "long non-coding RNA (HVUL_LNC020086)". Lineage: Eukaryota; Viridiplantae; Streptophyta; Magnoliopsida; Poales; Poaceae. The record is from RNAcentral.